GACAGAGGAGGCAAGCGGUGUUCGGAAUUAUUGGGCUUAAAGCGCGUGUAGGCGGCCGCGUAAGUGCUUUGUGAAAGUCCACGGCUCAACCGUGGAAUUGCAGGGCAUACUGCAAGGCUUGAGGUCGAUAGAGGUCGCCGGAACUCUAGGUGGAGCGGUGAAAUGCGUAGAUAUCUAGAGGAACGCCGGAGGCGAAAGCGGGCCGCUGGGCCGUUUCUGACGCUGAGACGCGAAAGCGUGGGGAGCAAACAGG
RNAcentral lists this ribosomal RNA (253 nucleotides) under uncultured bacterium. RNAcentral's name for it is "partial 16S ribosomal RNA". It matches the Rfam family "Bacterial small subunit ribosomal RNA", at positions 524 to 776 of the family's 1533-position model. The record is from RNAcentral.